GAUCAUGGCUCAGGACGAACGCUGGCGGCGUGCCUAACACAUGCAAGUCGAGCGAGGAGAUUCCUCGGGAUGAUCCUAGCGGCGGACGGGUGAGUAACACGUGGGCAACCUGCCUCAUAGAGAGGAAUAGCCUUCCGAAAGGGAGAUUAAUACCUCAUAACAUUGCAGUUUCGCAUGAAACAGCAAUUAAAGGAGCAAUCCGCUAUGAGAUGGGCCCGCGGCGCAUUAGCUAGUUGGUGAGGUAACGGCUCACCAAGGCGACGAUGCGUAGCCGACCUGAGAGGGUGAUCGGCCACAUUGGGACUGAGACACGGCCCAGACUCCUACGGGAGGCAGCAGUGGGGAAUAUUGCACAAUGGGGGAAACCCUGAUGCAGCCAACGCCGCGUGAGUGAUGACGGCCUUCGGGUUGUAAAGCUCUGUCUUCAGGGACGAUAAUGACGGUACCUGAGGAGGAAGCCACGGCUAACUACGUGCCAGCAGCAGC
This 486-nucleotide ribosomal RNA is filed under the name uncultured bacterium. Its description in RNAcentral is "bacterial SSU rRNA". It matches the Rfam family "Bacterial small subunit ribosomal RNA", at positions 15 to 518 of the family's 1533-position model. The record is from RNAcentral.